GCCGGCCUGAGGCCUCAGGAGUCCAUCCUGGGAGGGGAGAGGGCGGGGGGCCACCCAAGGCGGGUAGGGCGGAGAGCAGACUCUGCCUAUUCCAGAGACGGCUUUAAGUCCCAAUGUAAACUGGGGUGCAGUGGAGAGGAGUUCUAUGGGUUUGGCAAAUGCAGAAAGUCAUGGGUCAUCACCACUACAGUCAAGGAAAGCCCUGGAGCUCCUGCCUCCCUCCGAUGCCUGAUAAACAUCUGCGGACCACUUCCUACCUCCUCCCAGGAGUGAUUUCGUUAGCCACCUGCUACUUUUGUCAGUUCCCCACUCCACUGAGAGCCCCAGGAGAGCAGGGCUGGGCUGUUUUAUACCUCACUGUAUCCCCACUGCCUGGGACACGGCAGGCACUCGAUACGGAUCC
Molecule: long non-coding RNA, 403 nt
Organism: Neofelis nebulosa (Clouded leopard)
Lineage: Eukaryota; Metazoa; Chordata; Mammalia; Carnivora; Felidae
Exons: 3
Source: RefSeq, a predicted model, not a curated record